This 1458-nucleotide long non-coding RNA is filed under the name Apteryx owenii (little spotted kiwi). RNAcentral describes it as "lncRNA (ENSAOWG00000004809.1)". Lineage: Eukaryota; Metazoa; Chordata; Aves; Apterygiformes; Apterygidae. The record is from RNAcentral.
CAGAUCCCACCUUUGGGUGAAGUGGUGUCAAGCCUGAAUCAACAGUUCUGUCCUGGAAAGACCCAGCAGUCUUGUUGGGCAACUAACUGAGUAUGACAGGAGGCUGAGCAAAAUGCAUCUUGUGCAUGGAGGGGUGCCCGUAAGGGGGAAUUACAGUCAGUUGCCAAACUUAAACGUAAUGUACAAGUGCUGAAAAUGGAACAGGAAGUCUUCAGGCUUGCUUGGAGAGGAGGAAAAACAACCUCAGAACAAAGCUUUGCCAAGUCUAGAUGGGACCUGCAGCAAUGAGACUUAAAACUUCAACCUGUCAUGAUGUUAUGGUCAGCCAAAGAAAGGAGAACCUGUUUCUGGAGGAAAAGAUGUCUGUGUUACUGCCUAGGAAAAAUCCACAUGCUUGUCUGGAAUCUGCACUUGCUUGCAGGUCUCUGCAUGUACUGAGCAAGGCUUCUGGAAACAGUGAAAAUGCUCUUCCUGAGUCCGGCUACAGAGGAAGGCAAAACUCAUAGAUGCUUGCAGUGAUGAGUGUGUCUGAGACAGCCUUGUCUUACAYGUGGUUUUACACCUGGUGGGGGAGAAGUGCAAACCAAGUUGUCUGAAGAAUGUGAGCGUGCAACUGGAAAUGAGGAUGUCUGGCUUGGUGCAUACCACUGGGAGAGCUCAUGUGACGUUCUUGUACGUUUGCUUCUGCUUUUGCUUGCCUCAUAGCUGAGAGGUCAAGAACAAUUCAUCUGCCCUGAUCCUUCCACCAAAGGAGAGGUUGAAGCACUUAGCUGCUGCUUAUGUAUCUCUGUGCAACAGCUUCAUGUAAAUGUCAUGAGGAAAAAGUUUGAGAGCAAAAGAAUAGAUGCUGGUCUAGCUCUCCCUCUUUCAUUGACUCUGUGCAAGGCCAGGAGUUUGGAGAGCAGGCUACUCAAGGGUCAUGGUCUUGUUCUUCAUAUAAAGCACUGCAGCAUUUCCUCUGGCUCUACUAGCAAUGGGCUAUGGGACUGAGCAUGGAUUUUUACUUUUUAUUUUCUUAAAUAUUCUUACUUUCUAAGGUACAGAACAGACCUAUGAAAGUCUAAGAUCAGAGAUUGUUUUCAAGAUUGCUAUUGCAUUGGCAUCAUUUUUCAAGUCAUUGGGUGUCUCCCAGGUAUUGGCACUACACACUGGGUUUAUUGGGCUUGGGUCACUACAAUUACUAGAGGAAGAUAUUGCAGAGGUAUUAGACAAUAUGGACUCUAGCCAGCUGUUGGAAUAUUACAACAUGUGCUGUCUACAGUUUGCUUUCAUUAGUCUGUGGUGGUGGUGGUGAAGCUGUUCUGUCCCAGUUGUAUUCCAUGAUAAGCUUGCAGCUUUGUGGAAAUGCUGAUACAUGUGCUGCCAGUGUUGGUUACACAUGUUUUUUUGGCAAUUCUUCUCUGGCUGGGUUACAGGAGUUGACAUUCUUGGUGGCAGUGAAAUCUUGCUCCUGUUCAG